GGACCGGGGGUGUUUGAGGGGUCGCCAGCCUGUCGAGCUGGAGGUCGCGGGUUCAAUUCCCGUCGGGA
This 68-nucleotide transfer RNA is filed under the name bacterium. RNAcentral describes it as "tRNA-Asp". The record is from RNAcentral.